Molecule: long non-coding RNA, 1504 nt
Organism: Columba livia (rock pigeon)
Lineage: Eukaryota; Metazoa; Chordata; Aves; Columbiformes; Columbidae
Exons: 6
Source: RefSeq, a predicted model, not a curated record
ACCUAUGCUCACAAGCAUUAACACAAGCCCAAGUGUAGCCAGGAGUUGGCUGAUGCAUUCUUCAGUUGAGUGUGAGAAAACAUCCCUUGCAGGCUGGCAAAGGCAAGUCCCAGAGCUGCACAGAGCAGCAGCAGGAAUAGAGGCCAAGCUGUCCCUGGUUUCUGAAGAGGGAGAACCUUGAGAGUGAGGCAUGGGACUGUUCAUGCACAAAAGAAGAAGAAGAAGAGGUGCAUGGUACCAUGGGAUCUUUUCCAAAGCGUGACACUUAGUGAUGGUCCUCCAUGCCCCUGAUCAGCUGCUGAGGCUUUGUUUGCCUUCAUCCCAGAUGGAGCUGCUCUUUCUUGAGCCUGAGGAAUGAGAAUGGUCACUAGCAGUACAGAGAAAAAAGCCAGGAUCACCUAGCAUCUAUUAGGAGACAGGGCUGCUGCCUUGGCAUUGUUUCAAAAGACAAAAAAGGAUCACCCAAGCUGAUAUCAAUCACUCCUGAAAUACCAGAAUAUAAAAAACUCUAGCAAAGAAUGCAAUAAAAAUGGACAAUCUCGAUCAACAUAUCAGUAACUGCUGGGAACAAACUGUCCAUGCUCAGUGAACAUCAAAGCAGAACUAAAUACUGGAUCCCAGACUUGUCCUCUUUCAAGGCUGCAAUAUAGCAGCUCAUCAAGGUGCAGCUGCCCAGCAGAAUGAAGCAGUGAGAAAGGCAGAGAACGGUGGAGAGCUCUGCUUCCAAAGGCAGGAUUUUCCUAUGGGUCAUGUUUCUCCUACAUGAGAGAGGAGAAACACAGCAAUUACGGUGUAUGAACAAAGGCAGUAGCUAUGCUGACUAGGCUGGAAAGUAUUUAGAAUUAAUAGUCAUUCCUAAAUGACCAUCUACCAUGAAAGGAUAAGUUAGUGUCUGAUGAGACACACUGCAUCAGUGCCCCAUCUACGGGGAACCCAGUGGGAACAUGGAUGCUGAAAGUGUGGUUGUGCCUGUGUUUUCGCCUCUUCAUAGAUCUCCUGCUUUAGAAACAUAAAGAGAACAUAACAGGCUUUUGUGAAUUUUGCCUGUCAGCUAAAGCCUUCAUAUUAACUGCAUUUUCCUGGAUCACCAGACACACGUUUUGGUAAACCUAGCAAUGGAAUGCAAACUUAUUGAUAAGCAUGGAUGGACAUCUCGCGAGAGGGGCGACGAGAAACCCAUGACCAAGAAACUGACCAACUGUGUAUAACAUUCCAUUCACGUGAAUACUUCAUAUAAAAGUGGGAGAUCACGAGGAUCUUGCUCCCUUUUGCCCUUUUCCCUUCUGCUUAUGGCCGACAUUAGAAGAGGACCUUGCUAGUCAUCCCUGCGAACUGAGGCCUAGUGAGAGACUGAAUCCAGCUCCGGUUGGCUGCAGAGUCUAAUCCAGGACUUCAGGUGCCGGCUCUGCAGUUGCUGAGACUUUCAAGAUUGGUUUUGUAUAUUUUGUAUUAUUUUCUCUAUUCUUAUUAGUAGCAUUAGUAAAACAUCUUUAAUUUUUUCCAA